AAUCAACGCUGGCGGCGUGCCUAAUACAUGCAAGUCGAACGCGAAAGUCCCGCAAGGGAUGAGUAGAGUGGCAAACGGGUGAGUAACGCGUGGGUGACCUGCCUUCGAGUGGGGGAUAAC
RNAcentral lists this ribosomal RNA (120 nucleotides) under uncultured bacterium. RNAcentral describes it as "partial 16S ribosomal RNA". It matches the Rfam family "Bacterial small subunit ribosomal RNA", at positions 32 to 147 of the family's 1533-position model. The record is from RNAcentral.